RNAcentral lists this ribosomal RNA (167 nucleotides) under uncultured Alphaproteobacteria bacterium. RNAcentral describes it as "partial 16S ribosomal RNA". It matches the Rfam family "Bacterial small subunit ribosomal RNA", at positions 337 to 524 of the family's 1533-position model. Lineage: Bacteria; Pseudomonadati; Pseudomonadota; Alphaproteobacteria. The record is from RNAcentral.
UCCUACGGGAGGCAGCAGUGGGGAAUCUUGCACAAUGGAGGAAACUCUGAUGCAGCGAUGCCGCGUGAGUGAAGAAGGCCCUUGGGUUGUAAAGCUCUUUCGUCGGGGAAGAAAAUGACUGUACCCGAAUAAGGAUCGGCUAACUCCGUGCCAGCAGCCGCGGUAAU